This 585-nucleotide long non-coding RNA is filed under the name Malus domestica (apple). Its description in RNAcentral is "long non-coding RNA (MDOM_LNC014862)". The record is from RNAcentral. Lineage: Eukaryota; Viridiplantae; Streptophyta; Magnoliopsida; Rosales; Rosaceae.
CGGGAGGCUUCGGUAGUGCCACCACUGGUACUGGGUACGGGACCACUGAAACCCCGUACACAGGAGGGCAGCAGCAACAAGAGAGAGGUACUGGCAUGACUGGAAGUGGUUACGGGACUACUGAUGCCCCGUACACAGGAGGGCAGCAGCAACAAGAGAGAGGGAUGAUGGAUAAGAUCAAGGACAAGAUUCCAGGAACUGGUGGUGGACGUAGGGAUGACGACCCCUACUCAUCGAAUGCCCAGACCGGUACUGGCAUGACUGGAACUGGGUACGGAACUACUGACGCCCCGUACACUGGAGGGGAGUACGAAGAAAGGGGGAUGAUGGACAAGGUCAAGGACAAGAUUCCGGGGACUGGGCAGAGGGAUGAAACCUACUCAUCUAAGACGGCCUCCACCACCGCACCUUACGGUGGCACCACCGGAGAGCACCAGGAAAAGAAGGGCGCCAUGGACAAGAUCAAAGAAAAGCUUCCCGGUGGACGCCAUUAAAUAUAUAUGUGUGUGCGCGCGUAUGUAUUCUAGGGUCUUUUGAUGUGCUAAUAACCGGUGCUUGGUGUGAUUGUGUGAACGUAAUUUCUUU